AGACCCGAAACCCGGUGAUCUAGCCAUGGGCAGGUUGAAGGUUGGGUAACACUAACUGGAGGACCGAACCGACUAAUGUUGAAAAAUUAGCGGAUGACCUGUGGCUGGGGGUGAAAGGCCAAUCAAACCGGGAGAUAGCUGGUUCUCCCCGAAAGCUAUUUAGGUAGCGCCUCGUGAAUUCAUCUCCGGGGGUAGAGCACUGUUUCGGCUAGGGGGCCAUCCCGGCUUACCAACCCGAUGCAAACUGCGAAUACCGGAGAAUGUUAUCACGGGAGACACACGGCGGGUGCUAACGUCCGUCGUGAAGAGGGAAACAACCCAGACCGCCAGCUAAGGUCCCAAAGUCAUGGUUAAGUGGGAAACGAUGUGGGAAGGCCCAGACAGCCAGGAUGUUGGCUUAGAAGCAGCCAUCAUUUAAAGAAAGCGUAAUAGCUCACUGGUCGAGUCGGCCUGCGCGGAAGAUGUAACGGGGCUAAACCAUGCACCGAAGCUGCGGCAGCGAACGUAUCACCCAAGACAACUUUACGGAGUUGACGAUUGACGGAGCGAAGCGACGUCAAAGCGUUCAUUAAAGUCGAGUUGGCUUAGGGAUACGUUCGUUGGGUAGGGGAGCGUUCUGUAAGCCUGUGAAGGUGGCCUGUGAGGGUUGCUGGAGGUAUCAGA
Molecule: ribosomal RNA, 663 nt
Filed under: Salmonella enterica
Lineage: Bacteria; Pseudomonadati; Pseudomonadota; Gammaproteobacteria; Enterobacterales; Enterobacteriaceae
Description: partial 23S ribosomal RNA
Rfam family: Bacterial large subunit ribosomal RNA
Source: RNAcentral